AGUCAAGCCGGAAGGAAGUGUUAAUAUUGAAAAGAGAAAAAUCCGCUCCAAGCCGAUGGAUGCCAUCCAUCUGAAUGGCCCUGUAGCGGUAGUGUAGCAUCAUCAUUUCAUAAUAAAUAAUAAAAAUUGAAAUUUGAAUCCUCAAAACUAAACCGAGAAAAGAAUCUUCAGAUUCAUGGCGUCGCGGUUGCAAAUUAAGGGCGAUGACUCAGUGCUGCUCCGAGUCACUCACUCCAAUCUUAAAAGCUUCAACACCGAUGUUCGAUUCUCUCUACAGAUGAGCGUGGAAGCGGUGAAAGAGAAGCUAUGGAAGAAAUGUGGGACUUCAGUAAAUUCAAUGCAGUUAGAGUUAUACGAUGAUUGUAAAAAUAAACUUUGUGAUUUAAGUGAUGAUUCAACACCUCUCGGUUUCUAUUCUCCACUUGAUGGGUUCCGAAUUCACGUUAUAGAUCUUGAUCCUUCAUCAGUAACCUCUGGAGGAUGGCUUGAAGAUACUUCAUUAGUCGAAAAGUACUCCAUUUCUGAAGAUGAAUACAAUAAACGUUCCGGUACUUUUAGGAAAUUCAAGGAAAAAAUGGCAUCUCAAAAUCCAUCUGCAUUUAGGAAUAAAAUGUCAGAUGACUACAUGGAAGACCUCUGUGCAAAUAUCAAGGUAGGAGACAGAUGUGAAGUUGAACCAGGGGAGAAAAGAGGGGUUGUCAAAUAUGUGGGUCGAGCAGAAGCAUUAGGGCCAGGCUUCUGGAUUGGAGUUCAGUAUGAUGAACCGUUAGGAAAACAUGAUGGCAUGGUGAAAGGAACACGAUAUUUUCAAUGCCCUCAGCUUUGUGGUGCAAUGGUUAGGCCUGACAAAGUAAAGGUUUGUAUGCAACUAUGUUAAAUGAUCUAAGCAUUUUGGGGUUCCUCCGAGGCCUUUUCUAGUUCAAAUGUAUUAGGUUGGUGACUAUCCUGAGCGAGAUCCUUUUGAGGAGGAUGAAUUAUAAUUGUGUUCAUGAAUGGGUACUGCUGCAUUCUAUGCGGUAUAAAUAACCUUAAUGAGAUUGGUAAUGAUUUUUCAUUUAUGUUUGAUAUUGUUGUGACAUAUUUGGUUGGGAAUGAUGUGUGAGAUUGUUUGGAAGAUAAGAAACUUUUAAGCUUCAAGAAGAUAGUAUUUGCCUUUUUGUGUUUGCCUCUUGACUAUUGUUGUAGCAAAAGAAUAGAAAUGAUCCCAAAAGGGGAAGGAUACCUACCUAGGUUCUUCUUGUUUCUUUUGUACCCUGGCUUGGAAAAAGAAAACUAUUAUUGUAGUUUGAUUGCUUAAAAAAAUACAAAUUGAGCUCUGUUGAAGCUCGCUUAAAUUGCACCAGAUUUUCUGUUGGCAUUGGAAUUUAUUUUUGAAUCAUUUUUUGAAAGGCUUUUUGUACUCACCUUGUGGUAACUAGUGCUUUCAAACACAUAAUGGAUUCCAAAGUAGCCAACAGGUGACUGUCUUUCAUUCAGAGACAUGGUUGGGAAGAUUAGGUAAAGCUGGAAAAUAAGAUGUAGAGGUGCAAGUAUUUUGCAGGUAACCUUAAUGGAAGAGGAUGCACGGUAACAAAAUUUUCCAAUGGAUUGGGU
Non-coding RNA from Durio zibethinus, 1593 nucleotides. Lineage: Eukaryota; Viridiplantae; Streptophyta; Magnoliopsida; Malvales; Malvaceae. The record is from RefSeq and is a predicted model, not a curated record.